RNAcentral lists this ribosomal RNA (439 nucleotides) under uncultured bacterium. RNAcentral's name for it is "partial 16S ribosomal RNA". It matches the Rfam family "Bacterial small subunit ribosomal RNA", at positions 338 to 795 of the family's 1533-position model. The record is from RNAcentral.
CCUACGGGAGGCAGCAGUAGGGAAUAUUGCUCAAUGGGGGAAACCCUGAAGCAGCAACGCCGCGUGGAGGAUGAAGGUUUUAGGAUUUUAAACCACUGUCCCCAGGGACGAAAAUGACGGUACCUGGGGAGGAAGCUCCGGCUAACUACGUGCCAGCAGCCGCGGUAAUACGUAGGGAGCGAGCGUUGUCCGGAAUUACUGGGUGUAAAGGGAGCGUAGGCGGGGAUGCAAGUUGGGUGUCCAAACUACCGGCUCAACUGGUAGUCGCACUCAAAACUGCAGCUCUUGAGUGAAGUAGAGGCAGGCGGAAUUCCGAGUGUAGCGGUGUAAUGAGUAGAUAGUAGGAGGAACACCAGUGGCGAAGGCGGCCUGAUGGGCUUUUACUGACGCUGAGGCUCGAAAGUGUGGGGAGCAAACAGGAUUAGAUACCCUGGUAGUC